CUACGGGAGGCUGCAGUGGGGAAUAUUGGACAAUGGGGGAAACCCUGAUCCAGCAAUGCCGCGUGUGUGAAGAAGGCCUGCGGGUUGUAAAGCACUUUCGGUUGGGAGGACUGCUUCUAGCACUAAUAUUGUUGGAAGUUGACGUUACCUUCAGAAGAAGCACCGGCUAACUCCGUGCCAGCAGCCGCGGUAAUAGCGGAGGGUGCAAGCGUUAAUCGGAAUUACUGGGCGUAAAGCGCGCGUAGGCGGCUAGAUCAGUCGGGUGUGAAAGCCCCGGGCUUAACCUGGGAACUGCAUCCGAUACUGGCUAGCUUGAGUACAGGAGAGGAGAGUGGAAUUCCACAUGUAGCGGUGAAAUGCGUAGAUAUGUGGAGGAACACCAAUGGCGAAGGCAGCUCUCUGGCCUGAUACUGACGCUGAGGUGCGAAAGCGUGGGGAGCAAACAGGAUUAGAUACCCUCGUAGUC
Molecule: ribosomal RNA, 466 nt
Filed under: uncultured bacterium
Lineage: Bacteria
Description: partial 16S ribosomal RNA
Rfam family: Bacterial small subunit ribosomal RNA
Source: RNAcentral